GAUGAACGCUGGCGGCGUGCCUAACACAUGCAAGUCGAACGGAGUCCAGCCUUUAAGACCUUCGGGUCAAAGAGGGGAAGACUGAGUGGCGGACGGGUGAGUAACACGUGGGCAACCUGGCUCAUAGAGGGGGAUAACAGGGAGAAAUUUCUGCUAAUACCGCAUAAGCACACACUGCCGCAUGGCAGAGGGUGAAAAGAGAAUCGCUAUGAGAUGGACCCGCGUCUGAUUAGCCAGUUGGCAGGGUAAGAGCCUACCAAAGCGACGAUCAGUAGCCGAUCUGAGAGGAUGAACGGCCACAUUGGGACUGAGACACGGCCCAAACUCCUACGGGAGGCAGCAGUGGGGGAUAUUGCACAAUGGGGGGAACCCUGAUGCAGCGACGCCGCGUGAGUGAAGAAGUAUUUCGGUAUGUAAAGCUCUAUCAGCAGGGAAGAUAAUGACAGUACCUGAAUAAGAAGCCCCGGCUAACUACGUG
Molecule: ribosomal RNA, 478 nt
Filed under: uncultured bacterium
Lineage: Bacteria
Description: partial 16S ribosomal RNA
Rfam family: Bacterial small subunit ribosomal RNA
Source: RNAcentral